Molecule: transfer RNA, 71 nt
Filed under: Marmota monax (woodchuck)
Lineage: Eukaryota; Metazoa; Chordata; Mammalia; Rodentia; Sciuridae
Description: tRNA.Ala
Source: RNAcentral
GAGGUUGUGGCUCAGUGAUAGAGCACUCGCCUAGCACGUGUGAGGCACUGGGCUCAAUCCUCAGCACCACA